RNAcentral lists this ribosomal RNA (514 nucleotides) under uncultured bacterium. RNAcentral's name for it is "bacterial SSU rRNA". It matches the Rfam family "Bacterial small subunit ribosomal RNA", at positions 501 to 1015 of the family's 1533-position model. The record is from RNAcentral.
CUACGUGCCAGCAGCCGCGGUAAUACGGAAGGUCCAGGCGUUAUCCGGAUUUAUUGGGUUUAAAGGGAGUGUAGGCGGUUUGUUAAGCGUGUUGUGAAAUUUAGGUGCUCAACAUUUAACGUGCAGCGCGAACUGGGGUGCUUGAGUACGAAGAGGGAAAGCGGAACUCGUGGUGUAGCGGUGAAAUGCUUAGAUAUCCUGAAGAACUCCGAUCGCGAAGGCAGCCAUCCGGGGCGUAACUGACGCUGAGGCUCGAAGGUGCGGGUAUCGAACAGGAUUAGAUACCCUGGUAGUCCGCACGGUAAACGAUGAAUACUCGCAGUUCGGUCUUUAUGAUCGAGUUGUCCAGCGAAAGCGUUAAGUAUUCCACCUGGGGAGUACGCCGGCAACGGUGAAACUCAAAGGAAUUGACGGGGGCCCGCACAAGCGGUGGAGCAUGUGGUUUAAUUCGAAGCAACGCGAAGAACCUUACCAGGUCUUGACAUCCCGAUGCUAUUUCUAGAGAUAGGAAGUU